Molecule: microRNA precursor, 125 nt
Filed under: Brassica napus (rape)
Lineage: Eukaryota; Viridiplantae; Streptophyta; Magnoliopsida; Brassicales; Brassicaceae
Description: MIR9563 microRNA precursor family
Rfam family: MIR9563 microRNA precursor family
Source: Rfam by way of RNAcentral
UCUAUCUAAUAACCCGUCUCUUAAUUUUUAAUUAAAAAAGUUAAGAACUGUUUUUAAAUAAGAGUUUUAAGAACCGGUUCUUAACUUUUUUUAGUUAAAAGCUAAGAGACGGGUUCUUAUAUUCC